GGACUACUCGGGUUUCUAAUCCUGUUUGAUCCCCGCGCUUUCGCGCCUCAGCGUCAGUUGUCGUCCAGAUAGCCGCCUUCGCCACCGGUGUUCCUCCUAAUAUCUACGAAUUUCACCUCUACAUUAGGAAUUCCGCUAUCCCCUCCGACACUCUAGCUUAUCAGUUUCAAAGGCAAUUCCCAGGUUGAGCCUGGGGAUUUCACCUCUGACUUGAUAAGCCGCCUACGCGCGCUUUACGCCCAGUAAUUCCGAACAACGCUAGCACCCUUCGUAUUACCGCGGCUGCUGGCAC
RNAcentral lists this ribosomal RNA (292 nucleotides) under uncultured bacterium. Its description in RNAcentral is "partial 16S ribosomal RNA". The record is from RNAcentral.